CCUGGUUGAUCCUGCCAGUAGCAUAUGCUUGUCUCAAAGAUUAAGCCAUGCAUGUCUAAGUACAAGCCGCUUCGUACGGCGAAACCGCGAAUGGCUCAAUAAAUCAGUUAUGGUUCCUUAGAUCCACUCAUCCUACUUGGAUAACUGUGGUAAUUCUAGAGCUAAUACAUGCACUCGAGUCCCGUUACCCUGGCGCUUCACGGCGUCAGGGAGUAGGGAUGCUUUUAUUAGAUCAAAACCAGUACGCGAGUCGCAAGGCGAGCGUAAACUUUUUGGUGACUCUGGAUAACUUCACGCGGAUCGCACGGCCUUCGAGCCGGCGACGUGUCUUUCAAAUGUCUGCCUUAUCAACUUUCGAUGGUAGGUUACGCGCCUACCAUGGUUGCAACGGGUAACGGGGAAUCGGGGUUCGGUUCCGGAGAGGGAGCCUGAGAAACGGCUACCACAUCCAAGGAAGGCAGCAGGCGCGCAAAUUACCCACUCCCGGCACGGGGAGGUAGUGACGAAAAAUAACGAUACGGGACUCUUCCGAGGCCCCGUGAUUGGAAUGAGUACACUUUAAAUCCUUUAACGAGGACCCAUUGGAGGGCAAGUCUGGUGCCAGCAGCCGCGGUAACUCCAGCUCCAAUAGCGUAUAUUAAAGUUGUUGCGGUUAAAAAGCUCGUAGUCGGAACUAUGUCUUCGGCCGGGUUGGUCGGGGUCUGUCCUUAACUGGGCGCCUCGGCCUGAAGCCUUGCGGUGUGUCGGGUAACACCGGCAUACUGCUUAGCGGUCGGACAUAACCGCCGGAGUGUCGCGGGCUUUAGGCGCGGUCUUAACCGGUCGCGUCUCGAGUCUCGGCACAAUCAAAUCGGCCGGGGUGCUCUUAACCGAGUGUCCCGGUCGGCCGGCAAACGUUUACUUUGAACAAAUUAGAGUGCUCAAAGCAGGCCGAUCUUAGCCCUGAAUAUCGCAGCAUGGAAUGAUGGAAUAGGACCUCGGUCUUAUUUUGCUGGUCUUUUUCUCAUAGACCCGAGGUAAUGGUCAAUAGAGACGGACGGGGGCAUCCGUACUGCGGCGACAGAGGUGAAAUUCUUGGACCGCCGCAAGACGAACGACAGCGAAGGCAUUUGCCAAGAAUGUUUUCCUUGAUCAAGAACGAAAGUUAGAGGUUCGAAGGCGAUCAGAUACCGCCCUAGUUCUAACCAUAAACGAUGCCGACCAGCGAUCCGCCGGUGUUACUCCCAUGACUCGGCGGGCGGCUUCCGGGAAACCAAAGUCUUUGGGUUCCGGGGGAAGUAUGGUUGCAAAGCUGAAACUUAAAGGAAUUGACGGAAGGGCACCACCAGGAGUGGAGCCUGCGGCUUAAUUUGACCCAACACGGGAAACCUCACCAGGCCCGGACACUGGAAUGAUUGACAGAUUGAGAGCUCUUUCUCGAUUCGGUGGGUGGUGGUGCAUGGCCGUUCUUAGUUGCUGGAGCGAUUUGUCUGGUUAAUUCCGAUAACGAACGAGACUCUAUCCUGCUAAAUAGGUGGCGGGUUUCUAUGCCUCCGAGUGCGGCGGCGGGCGCAAGCCCGUCGCCGUACGAAGGGGAAACUUGGGUGCGGUGGCCGACGGGACCAGGGCCGCGUGUUUGUCGGUCUCGAGUGCGCGGGUCAAACUGCGUAUUUGGG
This 1655-nucleotide ribosomal RNA is filed under the name metagenome. RNAcentral describes it as "SSU rRNA". It matches the Rfam family "Eukaryotic small subunit ribosomal RNA", at positions 3 to 1400 of the family's 1831-position model. The record is from RNAcentral.